Molecule: ribosomal RNA, 491 nt
Filed under: uncultured bacterium
Lineage: Bacteria
Description: partial 16S ribosomal RNA
Rfam family: Bacterial small subunit ribosomal RNA
Source: RNAcentral
GUGAACGCUGGCGGUAGGCCUAACACAUGCAAGUCGAACGACAGCACAGUAAGAGCUUGCUCUUACGGGUGGCGAGUGGCGGACGGGUGAGGAAUACAUCGGAAUCUACUUUUUCGUGGGGGAUAAUGUAGGGAAACUUACGCUAAUACCGCAUACGACCUACGGGUGAAAGCAGGGGAUCUUCGGACCUUGCGCGAUUGAAUGAGCCGAUGUCGGAUUAGCUAGUUGGCGGGGUAAAGGCCCACCAAGGCGACGAUCCGUAGCUGGUCUGAGAGGAUGAUCAGCCACACUGGAACUGAGACACGGUCCAGACUCCUACGGGAGGCGGCAGUGGGGAAUAUUGGACAAUGGGCGCAAGCCUGAUCCAGCCAUACCGCGUGGGUGAAGAAGGCCUUCGGGUUGUAAAGCCCUUUUGUUGGGAAAGAAAAGCAGCAGGUUAAUACCCCGCUGUUCUGACGGUACCCAAAGAAUAAGCACCGGCUAACUUCGUG